RNAcentral lists this ribosomal RNA (2774 nucleotides) under Escherichia coli. Its description in RNAcentral is "bacterial LSU rRNA". It matches the Rfam family "Bacterial large subunit ribosomal RNA". Lineage: Bacteria; Pseudomonadati; Pseudomonadota; Gammaproteobacteria; Enterobacterales; Enterobacteriaceae. The record is from RNAcentral.
AGCGUACACGGUGGAUGCCCUGGCAGUCAGAGGCGAUGAAGGACGUGCUAAUCUGCGAUAAGCGUCGGUAAGGUGAUAUGAACCGUUAUAACCGGCGAUUUCCGAAUGGGGAAACCCAGUGUGUUUCGACACACUAUCAUUAACUGAAUCCAUAGGUUAAUGAGGCGAACCGGGGGAACUGAAACAUCUAAGUACCCCGAGGAAAAGAAAUCAACCGAGAUUCCCCCAGUAGCGGCGAGCGAACGGGGAGGAGCCCAGAGCCUGAAUCAGUGUGUGUGUUAGUGGAAGCGUCUGGAAAGGCGCGCGAUACAGGGUGACAGCCCCGUACACAAAAAUGCACAUACUGUGAGCUCGAUGAGUAGGGCGGGACACGUGGUAUCCUGUCUGAAUAUGGGGGGACCAUCCUCCAAGGCUAAAUACUCCUGACUGACCGAUAGUGAACCAGUACCGUGAGGGAAAGGCGAAAAGAACCCCGGCGAGGGGAGUGAAAAAGAACCUGAAACCGUGUACGUACAAGCAGUGGGAGCCUCUUAAUGGGGUGACUGCGUACCUUUUGUAUAAUGGGUCAGCGACUUAUAUUCUGUAGCAAGGUUAACCGAAUAGGGGAGCCGAAGGGAAACCGAGUCUUAACUGGGCGUUAAGUUGCAGGGUAUAGACCCGAAACCCGGUGAUCUAGCCAUGGGCAGGUUGAAGGUUGGGUAACACUAACUGGAGGACCGAACCGACUAAUGUUGAAAAAUUAGCGGAUGACUUGUGGCUGGGGGUGAAAGGCCAAUCAAACCGGGAGAUAGCUGGUUCUCCCCGAAAGCUAUUUAGGUAGCGCCUCGUGAAUUCAUCUCCGGGGGUAGAGCACUGUUUCGGCAAGGGGGUCAUCCCGACUUACCAACCCGAUGCAAACUGCGAAUACCGGAGAAUGUUAUCACGGGAGACACACGGCGGGUGCUAACGUCCGUCGUGAAGAGGGAAACAACCCAGACCGCCAGCUAAGGUCCCAAAGUCAUGGUUAAGUGGGAAACGAUGUGGGAAGGCCCAGACAGCCAGGAUGUUGGCUUAGAAGCAGCCAUCAUUUAAAGAAAGCGUAAUAGCUCACUGGUCGAGUCGGCCUGCGCGGAAGAUGUAACGGGGCUAAACCAUGCACCGAAGCUGCGGCAGCGACGUUUAUGCGUUGUUGGGUAGGGGAGCGUUCUGUAAGCCUGCGAAGGUGUACUGUGAGGUAUGCUGGAGGUAUCAGAAGUGCGAAUGCUGACAUAAGUAACGAUAAAGCGGGUGAAAAGCCCGCUCGCCGGAAGACCAAGGGUUCCUGUCCAACGUUAAUCGGGGCAGGGUGAGUCGACCCCUAAGGCGAGGCCGAAAGGCGUAGUCGAUGGGAAACAGGUUAAUAUUCCUGUACUUGGUGUUACUGCGAAGGGGGGACGGAGAAGGCUAUGUUGGCCGGGCGACGGUUGUCCCGGUUUAAGCGUGUAGGCUGGUUUUCCAGGCAAAUCCGGAAAAUCAAGGCUGAGGCGUGAUGACGAGGCACUACGGUGCUGAAGCAACAAAUGCCCUGCUUCCAGGAAAAGCCUCUAAGCAUCAGGUAACAUCAAAUCGUACCCCAAACCGACACAGGUGGUCAGGUAGAGAAUACCAAGGCGCUUGAGAGAACUCGGGUGAAGGAACUAGGCAAAAUGGUGCCGUAACUUCGGGAGAAGGCACGCUGAUAUGUAGGUGAAGUCCCUCGCGGAUGGAGCUGAAAUCAGUCGAAGAUACCAGCUGGCUGCAACUGUUUAUUAAAAACACAGCACUGUGCAAACACGAAAGUGGACGUAUACGGUGUGACGCCUGCCCGGUGCCGGAAGGUUAAUUGAUGGGGUUAGCGGUAACGCGAAGCUCUUGAUCGAAGCCCCGGUAAACGGCGGCCGUAACUAUAACGGUCCUAAGGUAGCGAAAUUCCUUGUCGGGUAAGUUCCGACCUGCACGAAUGGCGUAAUGAUGGCCAGGCUGUCUCCACCCGAGACUCAGUGAAAUUGAACUCGCUGUGAAGAUGCAGUGUACCCGCGGCAAGACGGAAAGACCCCGUGAACCUUUACUAUAGCUUGACACUGAACAUUGAGCCUUGAUGUGUAGGAUAGGUGGGAGGCUUUGAAGUGUGGACGCCAGUCUGCAUGGAGCCGGCCUUGAAAUACCACCCUUUAAUGUUUGAUGUUCUAACGUUGGCCCCUGAUCGGGGUUGCGGACAGUGUCUGGUGGGUAGUUUGACUGGGGCGGUCUCCUCCUAAAGAGUAACGGAGGAGCACGAAGGUUGGCUAAUCCUGGUCGGACAUCAGGAGGUUAGUGCAAUGGCAUAAGCCAGCUUGACUGCGAGCGUGACGGCGCGAGCAGGUGCGAAAGCAGGUCAUAGUGAUCCGGUGGUUCUGAAUGGAAGGGCCAUCGCUCAACGGAUAAAAGGUACUCCGGGGAUAACAGGCUGAUACCGCCCAAGAGUUCAUAUCGACGGCGGUGUUUGGCACCUCGAUGUCGGCUCAUCACAUCCUGGGGCUGAAGUAGGUCCCAAGGGUAUGGCUGUUCGCCAUUUAAAGUGGUACGCGAGCUGGGUUUAGAACGUCGUGAGACAGUUCGGUCCCUAUCUGCCGUGGGCGCUGGAGAACUGAGGGGGGCUGCUCCUAGUACGAGAGGACCGGAGUGGACGCAUCACUGGUGUUCGGGUUGUCAUGCCAAUGGCACUGCCCGGUAGCUAAAUGCGGAAGAGAUAAGUGCUGAAAGCAUCUAAGCACGAAACUUGCCCCGAGAUGAGUUCU